GACGAACGCUGGCGGCGUGCUUAACACAUGCAAGUCGAACGGAAAGGCCCUGCUUUUGUGGGGUGCUCGAGUGGCGAACGGGUGAGUAACACGUGAGUAACCUGCCCUUGACUUUGGGAUAACUUCAGGAAACUGGGGCUAAUACCGGAUAGGAGCUCCUGCUGCAUGGUGGGGGUUGGAAAGUUUCGGCGGUUGGGGCUGGACUCGCGGCUUAUCAGCUUGUUGGUGGGGUAGUGGCUUACCAAGGCUUUGACGGGUAGCCGGCCUGAGAGGGUGACCGGCCACAUUGGGACUGAGAUACGGCCCAGACUGCUACGGGAGGCAGCAGUGGGGAAUAUUGCACAAUGGGCGGAAGCGUGAUGCAGCAACGCCGCGUGCGGGAUGACGGCCUACGGGUUGUAAACAGCUUUCGACUGUGACGAAGCGUGAGUGACGGUAAUGGGUAAAGAAGCACCGGCUAACUACGUG
This 468-nucleotide ribosomal RNA is filed under the name uncultured bacterium. Its description in RNAcentral is "partial 16S ribosomal RNA". It matches the Rfam family "Bacterial small subunit ribosomal RNA", at positions 28 to 507 of the family's 1533-position model. The record is from RNAcentral.